Molecule: long non-coding RNA, 316 nt
Filed under: Arachis ipaensis
Lineage: Eukaryota; Viridiplantae; Streptophyta; Magnoliopsida; Fabales; Fabaceae
Description: long non-coding RNA (AIPA_LNC001700)
Source: RNAcentral
UGUUCAUCAACAUUAUUAUUACAAAAAUAUGUCUAGAUUUUCAUUUUCUAACUUCAAGCCCUUAAGAUUCUGUGUCUGUUUUGUAUUUUGCUAUUUUUAUUAUUUUCUCAAAGGAAGCUUUGUUAUUAGACCUUCUAUUAAAAUGUUAUGGUGCUAGAUAUACUAUUUAUUUGUUGCAAGUUCAAGAUCUAAGGCUUGUUUGUUUGGAAGUCUUGGAUCUAAUUACUGUCUUAAGUGUUUGUUGGUUUCAAGUGGUGUGCAAUUUUUUUUAUCAUGUUUUUUUUUUUUUUAUCAAAGAUAAGAGACUCGAACCCGC